Molecule: ribosomal RNA, 373 nt
Filed under: uncultured soil bacterium
Lineage: Bacteria
Description: bacterial SSU rRNA
Rfam family: Bacterial small subunit ribosomal RNA
Source: RNAcentral
AGAUUGAACGCUGGCGGCAGGCCUAACACAUGCAAGUCGAGCGGCAGCACGGGUACUUGUACCUGGUGGCGAGCGGCGGACGGGUGAGUAAUGCCUAGGAAUCUGCCUGGUAGUGGGGGAUAACGCUCGGGAAACGGACGCUAAUACCGCAUACGUCCUACGGGAGAAAGCAGGGGACCUUCGGGCCUUGCGCUAUCAGAUGAGCCUAGGUCGGAUUAGCUAGUUGGUGAGGUAAUGGCUCACCAAGGCGACGAUCCGUAACUGGUCUGAGAGGAUGAUCGAGUCAACACGUAGGAACUGAGACACGGUCCAGACCUCCGUACGGGAGGCAGCGAGGUGGGAAUAGUUAGGACAAGUGGGACGAAAGCUAGAC